Callithrix jacchus (white-tufted-ear marmoset) is the source of this 1128-nucleotide long non-coding RNA. RefSeq lists it as uncharacterized. Lineage: Eukaryota; Metazoa; Chordata; Mammalia; Primates; Cebidae. The record is from RefSeq and is a predicted model, not a curated record.
UGCCUGGAGUUGAGACCACUGUGGCUGGAAGUUUCAGUGCCUCUCAAGUUUCCAGGUUGUAGGGUCUAAAGAACUGGAGUUCUGGCUCCCAGAGCUCCCUGCGUCUCGGGCCUGUGUGGCCCAGGGAGCUGAGGUUCCAGUCCUGCUAUCCUGGCCGUGUGCUCAGAGGGCUUUACAGACCGCAUCCAGACUGGGGAGCCCACCAACACCAGGAAGGACAUUUGGACACAGAGACACAGAGAAGAAAGCCACAACAGAGGCAGAGAGUAGGCCAGUGCCACUGCAAACCCGGCCCGGCACGGAUUGCUGGCCCCGCCAGAACCUGGGAGGAGGCAGGAAGGAGCCUCGAGCAACCUUUGGAGGGAGCACGGCCCUGCCGACACCCUGAUUUCAGACGUCGGACACCCCCAGAACACACCCCCGCCCCAUCUGUGGCACCUUGUUUCGUCAGCCUGAGGAACUUCCACACUGCUCAUAGGAGUUCUGGGGGGUGAAAUCAGAGCCAUGUGGAGCAACCAAGCAACCAGCACCGGCAACACGGGUGGGUGAUGGCAGCUGGCGUGGCCACUUUGGAGAAGUCCUGGGGGAUCUGGUCAGCACACACCCACCUCCCCCACAGGUGCACACCCUACAGAAACGCACGUUCUACACACCAUCUGACAUCACCAAGAUGUUCAGAGCAGCCAUGUUUGAAUAACCCCAAACUGAUAACCCCAAACUGGAAACCACCCCAUGCCAGCCCACAGUGGAGAAACAGAUUGUGAGAAAACCACACCAUGAGGCACUCCCGGCAAGGUGAAGGAACAGCCUACAGCUGUGGGAACAGCAUGUGUGGAUCUCUGCAGCAAGUGGAAGAGGCAGACAUGGGGGACAUCCUUUCCCUCCUGUUCCACGCCACCAACAUGAGGUUCAAGAACAGGCAAAAUUAAUCCUUGGUGGGAACAAAAUCAGAAAAGUAUUUGCUCUCAUUGACAAGUAACUGGGAGGGAGCACAUGGGACCAUUCUGCCCCUUGACUGGGGUGUGCAUUCUGCAGGUGUGUGAAGAUGUGUGUGUUUAGCUGUAUGUGAAAUUUAUCUCAACAGAAUAAAGAGAAAUGUACAGCAAGAGAGUGCACUGGUUAGCAGGG